RNAcentral lists this ribosomal RNA (497 nucleotides) under uncultured bacterium. Its description in RNAcentral is "partial 16S ribosomal RNA". It matches the Rfam family "Bacterial small subunit ribosomal RNA", at positions 28 to 507 of the family's 1533-position model. The record is from RNAcentral.
GAUGAACGCUGGCGGCGUGCCUAAUACAUGCAAGUCGAGCGAACAGAUAAGGAGCUUGCUCCUUUGACGUUAGCGGCGGACGGGUGAGUAACACGUGGAUAACCUACCCAUAAGACUGGGAUAACUUCGGGAAACCGGAGCUAAUACCGGAUAACAUAUUGAACCGCAUGGUUCAAUAGUGAAAGGCGGCUUUGCUGUCACUUAUAGAUGGAUCCACGCCGUAUUAGCUAGUUGGUAAGGUAACGGCUUACCAAGGCAACGAUACGUAGCCGACCUGAGAGGGUGAUCGGACACACUGGAACUGAGACACGGGCCAGACUCCUACGGGAGGCAGCAGUAGGGAAUCUUCCGAAAUGGGCGAAAGCCUGACGGAGCAACGCCGCGUGAGUGAUGAAGGUCUUCGGAUCGUAAAACUCUGUUAUCAGGGAAGAACAAAUGUGUAAGUAACUGUGCACAUCUUGACGGUACCUGAUCAGAAAGCCACGGCUAACUACGUG